This 377-nucleotide ribosomal RNA is filed under the name uncultured bacterium. RNAcentral's name for it is "bacterial SSU rRNA". It matches the Rfam family "Bacterial small subunit ribosomal RNA", at positions 521 to 896 of the family's 1533-position model. The record is from RNAcentral.
UAAUACGUAGGGGGCAAGCGUUGUCCGGAUUUAUUGGGCGUAAAGCGCACGCAGGCGGUCUUUUACGUUCCCAGUGACAGUGCGUAGCUUAACUGCGCAAGGUCUGGGAAAACGGAGAGACUUGAGGACCAGAGAGGGACAUAGAAUUCCGGGUGGAGUGGUGAAAUGCGUAGAUAUCCGGAGGAAUACCAAAGGCGAAGGCAGUGUCCUGGCUGGUAACUGACGCUCAGGUGCGAAAGCUAGGGGAGCGAACAGGAUUAGAUACCCUGGUAGUCCUAGCCGUAAACGAUGACCACAAGGUGUGCGGAGUAUCGACCCUCUGCGUGCCGACGCUUACGCAAUUAGUGGUCCGCCUGGGGAGUACGGUCGCAAGAUUA